This is a long non-coding RNA of Mytilus trossulus (common blue mussel), 615 nucleotides long. RefSeq lists it as uncharacterized. The transcript is spliced from 3 exons. Lineage: Eukaryota; Metazoa; Mollusca; Bivalvia; Mytilida; Mytilidae. The record is from RefSeq and is a predicted model, not a curated record.
GACAACUAUCCACCUGAUGGUUAAGUAAAUUUUGUAAAAAUAUUUGCAGAUUAUGCAAAUUAUGUGUACCUCAGUGUAUAGUAUUCAUGUAUGCAUGAAAAUAAAUGUGUUUUUUUUAAUUUCAGUGCAAAUCACUCUUCCAACAACUGAAUAUAAAUUGGUUUGUCAAAUAUGUUCUUUGGUGUAUGAUCAGAUCCUGUAUAUAUAUACUAUAGUAUAGAUCUAACAAACUGUUAAAAGAAAAGAAAAUUAUCUUUUAGCUGCUGUGGAAAAUUUUCAAAGGAUAGGAUUAUUGAUUAUGAACAACAGGAUUAUAUCAUCAUGACCAUUGGAAUCUUACAAGGAGAAGUGUCAGUAAAGGAAGGAAUUCAUGAGCAAAAAUUAUAAUAUUGUAAACAGGAGAACAGUUAAAAUAAUACUAACAGUUCAACAGUUUUGUGAGACCAAGAGCAUUAGGCAGAGUAAACUUGGAGUGUAUAUAUGUCAACCACAAGUACAUUUAAAUACCACAUAAUGCUAAUGUAAUAAGAACUAUGGUACACCAGUUUGUAUGAUUGUGAAUAUCGGGUCCCCAAAAAAAUGUAUUUGUUAAAUAAAUAGAAUUGAAAUAACCAA